This 6947-nucleotide long non-coding RNA is filed under the name Triticum aestivum (bread wheat). RNAcentral's name for it is "long non-coding RNA (TAES_LNC002407)". The record is from RNAcentral. Lineage: Eukaryota; Viridiplantae; Streptophyta; Magnoliopsida; Poales; Poaceae.
AUAAUCGCAUUGAAGGCAUAUGUCGCAAGUGAGGUAAUCUUCAAACAACCCAUGUAAUAUAUAAAGGAAAGAGAUACAUAGUUGGCUUACAAUCGCCACUUCACACAAUUACAUGAAUAAAGCAUUACCUCAACCAAAUACAAACAGGGUCCGACUACGGAACCAAAAUAAAAGAAGAACCCCAAAUGCGACAAAGGUCCCCGAUCGACCCCAACUGGGCUCCACUACUGAUCAACUAGCACGGAAACAACACAAAGGACAAGAUAUUUAACGAGCUCCUCCUGAGCUUGGUUGCGUCAUCUGCACGGACUCAUCGGCACCUGCAAGCUGGUUUUGGAAGUAUAUGUGAGCCACGGGGACUCAGCAAUCUCGCACCCUCGCGAUCAGGACUAUUUAGGCUUAUAGGAAGGAUGGAGUAAUGAGGUGGAGCUGCAGCAAGCGACUAGCGUAUAUGGUGGCUACAUUCGCAAAAGAGAGUGAGAAGAGAAGCAAGGUACGGUCGUGAAGCUAGUAGCGAUCAAGAAGUGAUCCUGAAACUACUUACGUCAAACAUAACUCCAACACCGUGUUCACUUCCCGGACUCCGCCGAGAAGAGACCAUGACGGUUACGCACGCGGUUAAUGUAUUUUAAAUAAGGUCAACUUCGGGUUUUCUACAACCGGAUGUUAACAAAUUCCCAUCUGCCCAUAACCGCGGGCACGGCUUUCGAAAGUUCAAAUCCCUGCAGGGGUGUCCCAACUUAGCCCAUCACAAGCUCUCACGGUCAACGAAGGAAUAGACCUCCACCCGAGACGUUCCGAUCAGACUCGGUAUCCCGGUACAACAAGACAUUUCGACAGGGUAAAACUAAACCAGCAACACCGCCCGAAUGUGCCGACAAAUCCCGAUAGGAGCUGCACAUAUCUCUUUCUCAGGGCACACUCAGAUGAGACAUCCUACGAGUAAAACCAACCCUCAAGUUGCCCCGAGGUGGCCCCGCAGAAUACUCGGUCGGACCAACACUCAGAGGAGCACUGGCCCAGGGGGGGUUAAAAUAAAGAUGACCCUUGAGUCUGCAGAACCCAUGGGAAAGAAAAGGCUAGGUGGCGAAUGGUAAAACCAAUGUUGGGCAUUGCUGGAAGAGCUUUACUUAAGGCGAACUGUCAAGGGGUUCCCAUUAUAGCCCAACCGCGUAAGGGACGCAAAAUCCAGGAACAUAACACCGAUAUGACGGAAACUAGGGCGGCAAGAGUGGAACAAAACACCAGGCAUAAGGCCGAGCCUUCCACCCUUUACCAAAUAUAUAGAUGCAUUAAUUAAAUAAGAUAUAUUGUGAUAUCCCAACAAGUAAACAUGUUCCACCAAGGAACAAUAUCUCCAUGUUCCAACAAGGAACAAACUUCAAUCUUCACCUGCAACUAACAACGCUAUAAGAGGGGCUGAGCAAAGCGGUAACAUAGCCAAUCAACGGUUUGCUAGGACAUGGUGGGUUAGAGGUUUGACAUGGCAAUUUGGGAGGCUGACAAGCAAAUGGUAGGCAUCGUAGCAUUGGCAUAGCAAAAGAGCGAGCAUCUAGCAAAGCAAAGAUAGUAGUGAUUUCGAGGGUAUUAUCAUCUUGCCUGAAAUCCCGCAAGGAAGAGGAACGAGUCCAUGAAGAAGACAAAUGGACGUAGUCGAACGAAUCCUCACAACUCCAGAACGAAACCGAAGCUAACAAGAGAAGCAAACCGGAAAGAAGCAAACAACCAUGGUAAACACACAAGCAUAGUCAAGGCAUGAUGCACAAUCAAGUAUGAUGCAUUUCCGGUUUAAUGAGGCAUGGCAUGGCAAUUUGCACAAACAAUCCUACAAAUUAAGUGGAGGUCAAUAUGCAACUCCGUUGCAUAUCGACGAAACGCCACAUCAAUUAUUUAGUUCUCUCCCGGUUAUGUACUCAACAAUAUUAAAUGUUGAUAAGCAUGGCAAGAGGGUGAAGCAAAUAAAACUACCUAUCUAGUCAAGUUUAAAUGAGGCCGGAAACAACAAACAACAAUUCCGGAAAAUCCCCAUGUCAUUUAGUAAUUUAAUGCAACAACAAUUUUUUUAAGCAUUUAAAUAUUGUUAACAUGAUGCGGAUGACAUAUACAAGUUUAUGCUUUUUUUUGGAAAUGUUGACAUGAGCAUGUUAUGAAGCAUUAGUCGCCAUGGCGGAAUGAAAAGGGUGCCACGGCGGCGAAACAGAAAUGGUGCCACGGCAACAUAUCCGAAAAUGAUGCCACGGCAACAUAUCGGUUCCGGUAGCUCAUGGAGAUACCGGUGCAAAGGAAGUGGGCGUGAGCGUGUCGUGCAAGGAUGGUGGGGUGCCCCCGGAUUCCGGGUUCCCAUGGGAUGGCAGCAUGGAAAACGAGUGACAAUUCGGACACGGUGCAAACAUACGGUUCAUCUCAUACAUGCAAGGGCAUCUCAUCGCGGUCGUCUCGGGUUAUACCUUUGAAGCAAGCGUUUUCGCGGCGGAUCGAGUUCGGUACGAUGCAGAGGAAGUAGACGUUCUCGGGUCGUCGUGGGAAGUAGUUGUUCACGGCGACGGUAGAGGUACAUAUCGUAGUGGAAGUAGUUGUUCAUGUCCCAUGGAUGUUCGGGGCCCACGGGGUCUUCGAGGGUCGAUGGUAGUGGUUCACGGACAUCGUGGAAGUAGUCGUACACGGGUCUUCGAGCGACGGUAGAUGGUACACGUUUUUUGUAGAUGUACAUGUCGGCGGUAGUUGUACUUGGCGAAAAUCUGAAGAUGGCCUUGGCGGAUGCAAGCAGCAGCACAGGGCUGGCCGAGGCAACGCGGGUUCGCGCGUGGCCUACGGUGGAGGUCAACUCCGACGGGGACGGGCAAGGCGGCGGAGGCCACCCGGAUCUGGAUGGGGUUAGAGGAAGACUGUGCUCCCAGGGGCGGCGAGGAGGCCGACGGUGCCAUGGUCGUGCGGCCCAGGCGAGCUCGGCGGCCUGGACUGGCUGGACGAAGCGGCGGCGUUGAGGAGGCUGACGGGGCUCCGGCUUGGCCCGCUCCUCUGGUGAGGGCGGAGCGCAGGGUCGGGCACUGGAGGUCGGAUACUGGCGCGCGGAGGGAGAAGGAAGGGCGAGGUGGAGGCGCACCGGAGAGGAAGGGGAAGAUCGAGGAGAGGGGAUCGGGCGCUGGGUGGCUCGAUGCGAUGGGUGCGGGAGCGAGGGGAUCGGGCGAUGCAGGGGUGUGCGGCGCACAGGGAGAGAUGGGGUGCGAUCGGGUCGAGGGGAACUGCGGCUAGGGUUAGAGGGGCACCGGCUGGGCUGCGGAUGGGCCUAAGAGGCCGGCUAGGGUUGCAGGCUGCUGGGCUCUCUCUCUCUCUCCCUCAUAUACUCUUUACAUUAACAAAGAACUAGAAGAAAGGAUAGGAGAGAUGAGAAGGUUAGAGGAAGAAUUUGGGCAUGCGGUUAAUUUUCUCGGACUCGCAAAAAUGAGCUUGAACCAAGAAAACUAGAAAGAGGCAUGAUUGAAAGAUGUAAAUUCAAACUCAUUUGAAUUUAAUUCAAAUGGGUUUGAACUAGGACUUGAUAAAAGGAAGGUCCAAAAAUGUUCGGAUUUUUGGUGGGGCUCCGAAAAAUGAUGAAAUAAUUUAUGGGCAAGGUUUGGAGGUCAACUCGGGGCAGAAAAAGGCAUGGGAUUUAUUUUGCACGUGGGUUAUGGUGAUUUCCAAAACAAUGGAAUAUUUAAUAUAGCUCCCUAAUAUUGGAGGAUAUGUUAUAAAGAGAAGUCACCCUUCCCUCGAUUUAAAUGGAUCGAAGAUCAAUACAAUUUAUUUAGAAGAGUCAUAAAAAUUAAAUGGCAUGAUGGCAUGAUGCAAUGCAAGAGAUGACAUGAAGAAAUGCAACAAACAAAAAUAAAACACACGACGAAACUCGGAAUAGCUGGGAGUCUUCUGGAGCGUCGGUCUCGGGGCGUUACAACACUCCACCACUACAAGAGGAUCUCGUCCCGAGAUCUAGAAUGGCACCGGAGGGAAAACGGAAGAGAAAAAGAAAAGGUAAAACUAAGUUGCUUCUUUUGACAAACGAGUGAAACCACGGACCUUGAGAGGUUGAACAAAUUGAAAGAAAUGAAACAACGGAGAAGAACAAAGUUCGCAACACUCCAUUAAGAAAGAGGAAAAGAAGGAACCGAUUCGGGUAGCACUCCGGUUGAGAAGGGAUGCAAGACUUGAUAAGAUGAAAAGAACGUGAAAAGAGGAUGCACCACUCCAGAAAACAGGAAUUGAAUAAACUCGAUGAAACAAGAAUAAGAAUUACAUUAUGUUUAUCCUUCACCAAUUAAAUUGAUGACAAACAAUGGAUUCGACACACUACUUAUUCUCGUUGAAAGGAUUAAGAUAGAUAUUGCGCAAACUUGAGAAAGUCUUCAACGAUCCACCGGUAGAAUUAAGAAAGCACGAAUGCAUAGAUAUGAUACACGAAGGAAGAAAACUCUUGAACGAACCACCGUAAGAAUUAAAAUAAAUGAAGUAAAGGGAUGAAUCACCGGUUAGAAUUAGCAAAUACACGAAGAUGCUUGAGAGGAUUUAGACCCAUGAGAACGAAGAGAUCACGAGCUGAUUAAAGAUCACUUGCACGAAGCACCGGUAAAAUUGAAGAACGUGAGCUGAAAGCUGGACUGAAUCAAUCUUAGAUGAUGGGCUCCGGAUAAUCCGACAGAAAAUACUCUGAAUUACUCCGGAUGAGUGAAAAGAAUUCUGACAAUCGAAAACAACUAUGAGAGGAUGGCAUAACGCUAGAACCAUGAACCUUGAAGAGAAAGGAGCAAGAUUGAGAGAAAAAAAAUCUUCUUCAGUCUUCAAAUGCUGGGAAUGACGAUGAGAAACACCACCAAAUUGUUGAGAUCUCCGGGAUUAAAAUUGGAAAGGUUGAACCAACGAUGAAAGAAUUUGAAAGAUCAAGGAGAAAGGCAUUGGACUGAUGAUAACUCAAUCUUACGUCAAACUUGGAAAAGAAUUUGAGAGUAACGCCGGGAAAAUAAGAAGAGUCAGGUAAGAUCCUGGAAAAAGACCUGUGGGUUAGGGCCCACUCAAAAGAAACAGCGUUGAACAAUUUGAAGAGAGAUAAUGCACCGGUUGAAAUAAAAGACUUGAAUGAGAGAACAUCCUCGAAAGAUCUUGAACGAAUGCAUAGUGGAAACACGAAUCUUCGAGAUAUCUUGAGCAUUCCAGAAUAAUUGAAUAGCGAGAAGUGGAAGAUUAAGAGGUGCACCGGCAUAAAUAGGCAUUGGGCAAAAAGAAAAGGAGUAUGCUCAAUACCAAAGCUUGAAUUAAUUCCACCGGAGAAGAAAAUGAGUGAAGAGUGACGAACUUGAAGCUUCGUUAGAAUCUUCAUGAGAAUCACCAGAUACGAACAUUGAAAGAAAAGAAUGGAGAGACUUCACAUAAAUAAGAUGGAUACUUGAUUAAGAAAUCUUAUUCCUCGAAGAAAGAGGGUGGGAGGGCGGGAAAAACAAAGGCAACUUGGAGACGGAUGAAACAAACACCAUUGAGAAGAAGUGAUAAUUGAUCUUGCGGAAGUUGAAAUGAUCGAAUCCACUUGAAGAAGCACGCCGGUUGGAAAGAAUUGACAUGACAAACUCGAUGAUCAAGAAGGAUUAGUAUUCACAUAGCAAUAUGAGAACACCAUUUAGGAAAGGUAUGGAUUCAACAUUUGACUUCGAAGCAACUCGAAUACCACAAAUAAAACGAAACAAAGGAUUUGGCUUGCAGAAUAAGCCGGAACAAACAUAUGAUAGAGAUUCCGUCCGAAGUUUUCGUGGUGGGGCCUACACGGGCUCGAUCAUACAGCACCAUCAUGUACAAGGCAGUGCACAUGACAUAUGAAGCGUCCCCGAGUCGGCAUAGCCAAGGACUCUUUAAGACACAACGAGACUACUGUAAAACCAACCGUGAAUAGGCGGACCACUAGACGUCGAACCCCAAUUUCGUAUCAUACAUCUGUCGGAAAGAAAUCCUAGGAGCUACUUGAAUUCCCACCUAUGAAACUCCCGAAAUUUUCCGGUUAUGCAAUCGGGUGUUGGGGAUACAGGGGAAGCAUAAUAUCUCAUCCAAACUAGCAAAUCCUACAUCCAGCUGUAUCCAUCCUUCAACACAUAACCAAGAAACCUUCGGAAAUCGUCUACCUCAACCUUCGAAAAGCAUCUGUUAUACAAGUUAUGGCAAUACUCCCGAACUCCCGCCCCAGUACUGGGUGGCGUCGAGGUUAUCUCACCAACGAACUGCAUAAAAGAGAAUUUCGAUGUCGGCGUACUAAACUCAGGUAUUCUAGAACUGCAACGAUAAAAUUAUGAUGACAACACCUCAGAGCUCAACUCCCCGGGACACUUCCACAAAACCCCUGACAGGAGGCACCAAGACAAUGAUCUCAUCAUAAAACCAUCGGAACGAUUCCAAGAUACCCGCGUGAUCCUAAAUUUUUUUUUGUGAAAUUUGAGAAGAGAAGAGUCAAAACUCUACGUCAGGAUGCCUUACCAGAGCGAUGAGGAGACUGGGAAGUAAAAAGAUUUCCUAAACUCUCCGAUAUAUAAUUCCUAAAUGACUCAAAAUAUUUUUCUAGACACAACUCGGCUGCUAAAAACGAUCAAGCAAUGGGGCUCCUAAGGUAGGGGAAGGCUCUGAUACCAACUUGUAACACCCUCGAUGCGACUAUAUCUCCCACGUGUCGAGGCACGACUUAGAGGCAUAAUCGCAUUGAAGGCAUAUGUCGCAAGUGAGGUAAUCUUCAAACAACCCAUAUAAUAUAUAAAGGAAAGAGAUACAUAGUUGGCCUACAAUCGCCACUUCACACAAUUACAUGAAUAAAGCAUUACCUCAACCAAAUGCAAACAGGGUCUGACUACGGAACCAAAAUAAAAGAAGAACCCCAAAUGCGACAAAGGUCCCCGAUCGACCCCAACUGGGCUCCACUACUGAUCAACUAGCACGGAAACAAC